This 582-nucleotide ribosomal RNA is filed under the name uncultured bacterium. RNAcentral describes it as "partial 16S ribosomal RNA". It matches the Rfam family "Bacterial small subunit ribosomal RNA", at positions 355 to 1375 of the family's 1533-position model. The record is from RNAcentral.
UGGGGAAUUUUGGACAAUGGGCGAAAGCCUGAUCCAGCAAUGCCGCGUGUGUGAAGAAGGCCUUCGGGUUGUAAAGCACUUUUGUCCGGAAAGAAAUCCUUGGCUCUAAUACAGUCGGGGGAUGACGGUACCGGAAGAAUAAGCACCGGCUAACUACGUGCCAGCAGCCGCGGUAAUACGUAGGGUGCAAGCGUUAAUCGGAAUUACUGGGCGUAAAGCGUGCGCAGGCGGUUUGCUAAGACCGAUGUGAAAUCCCCGGGCUCAACCUGGGAACUGCAUUGGUGACUGGCAGGCUAGAGUAUGGCAGAGGGGGGUAGAAUUCCACGUGUAGCAGUGAAAUGCGUAGAGAUGUGGAGGAAUACCGAUGGCGAAGGCAGCCCCCUGGGCCAAUACUGACGCUCAUGCACGAAAGCGUGGGGAGCAAACAGGAUUAGAUACCCUGGUAGUCCACGCCCUAAACGAUGUCAACUAGUUGUUGGGGAUUCAUUUCCUAGUAACGUAGCUAACGCGUGAAGUUGACCGCCUGGGGAGUACGGUCGCAAGAUUAAACUCAAUGAAUUGACGGGGUCAUAGCUGUUUCCU